This 940-nucleotide ribosomal RNA is filed under the name archaeon BC26. Its description in RNAcentral is "bacterial SSU rRNA". It matches the Rfam family "Archaeal small subunit ribosomal RNA", at positions 34 to 975 of the family's 1478-position model. The record is from RNAcentral.
UGGGAUCGAUUUAGCCAUGCUAGUCGCACGAGUUCAGACUCGUGGCGAAUAGCUCAGUAACACGUGGCCAAACUACCCUUCGGAACACAAUACCCUCGGGAAACUGAGGCUAAUAGUGUAUACCAUACCACCACUGGAAUGAGUGGUAUGCCAAACGCUCCGGCGCCGAAGGAUGUGGCUGCGGCCGAUUAGGUAGACGGUGGGGUAACGGCCCACCGUGCCAAUAAUCGGUAUGGGUCAUGAGAGUGAGAACCCAGAGACGGAAUCUGAGACAAGAUUCCGGGCCCUACGGGGCGCAGCAGGCGCGAAACCUUUACACUGCACGACAGUGCGAUAGGGGGAUCCCAAGUGCACAGGCAUAGCGCCUGUGCUUUUCGGUACCCUAAGGCGGUACCAGAAUAAGGGCUGGGCAAGACCGGUGCCAGCCGCCGCGGUAAUACCGGCAGCCCAAGUGAUGGCCGAUCUUAUUGGGCCUAAAGCGUCCGUAGCUGGCCGCGCAAGUCCAUCGGGAAAUCCACCUGCUCAACAGGUGGGCGCCCGGUAGAAACUGCGUGGCUUGGGACCGGAAGGCGCGACGGGUACGUCCGGGGUAGGAGUGAAAUCCCGUAAUCCUGGACGGACCGCCGAUGGCGAAAGCACGUCGCGAGAACGGAUCCGACAGUGAGGGACGAAAGCCAGGGUCUCGAACCGGAUUAGAUACCCGGGUAGUCCUGGCCGUAAACAAUGUCUGCUAGGUGUGGCUCCCACUACGAGUGGGUGCUGUGCCGUAGGGAAGCCGCUAAGCAGACCGCCUGGGAAGUACGUCCGCAAGGAUGAAACUUAAAGGAAUUGGCGGGGGAGCACUACAACCGGAGGAGCCUGCGGUUUAAUUGGACUCAACGCCGGACAUCUCACCAGCAUCGACUGUAGUAAUGACGAUCAGGUUGAUGACCUUAUCCGA